CCUACGGGGGGCUGCAGUGGGGAAUAUUGGACAAUGGGGGGAACCCUGAUCCAGCCAUGCCGCGUGUGUGAAGAAGGCCCUCGGGUUGUAAAGCACUUUCAGUGAGGAAGAACGCCUGGUGGUUAAUACCCAUCAGGAAAGACAUCACUCACAGAAGAAGCACCGGCUAACUCCGUGCCAGCAGCCGCGGUAAUACGGAGGGUGCGAGCGUUAAUCGGAAUUACUGGGCGUAAAGCGCGCGUAGGUGGCUUGAUAAGCCGGUUGUGAAAGCCCCGGGCUCAACCUGGGAACGGCAUCCGGAACUGGCAAGCUAGAGUGCAGGAGAGGAAGGUAGAAUUCCCGGUGUAGCGGUGAAAUGCGUAGAGAUCGGGAGGAAUACCAGUGGCGAAGGCGGCCUUCUGGACUGACACUGACACUGAGGUGCGAAAGCGUGGGUAGCGAACAGGAUUAGAUACCCGAGUAGUC
RNAcentral lists this ribosomal RNA (465 nucleotides) under Vreelandella stevensii. RNAcentral's name for it is "partial 16S ribosomal RNA". It matches the Rfam family "Bacterial small subunit ribosomal RNA", at positions 338 to 795 of the family's 1533-position model. The record is from RNAcentral. Lineage: Bacteria; Pseudomonadati; Pseudomonadota; Gammaproteobacteria; Oceanospirillales; Halomonadaceae.